Molecule: long non-coding RNA, 1233 nt
Organism: Brassica napus (rape)
Lineage: Eukaryota; Viridiplantae; Streptophyta; Magnoliopsida; Brassicales; Brassicaceae
Exons: 2
Source: RefSeq, a predicted model, not a curated record
UUUGCUGGAGAUAUAUGUCAACGACCACUCUUUGUCCGCCACGUAUUAGUGCUCGUGCGUGUAUUCUUUACUUUAAUUGCAAUAUGUAUUUUGGUUAAAAUAAUCAAAUCCGCUUCGGACACUGUACAAUUGAUCAAACUAGAGCGUGGUUAUGUAAUAAACACGACCAUAAAACAUAGUAACUAUGAUUAAGAAGAAAUUAGCCACACACUUCCUAACGAGAGAAAUACAUUAAUGCCCCUUAACUAGAUACAAACCCUUUUUUCCUUUCGACUCCAAUUACCAAAAAAAAUGGUAAAUCCUUCUUUCGAAAUUAUCUUUCACCCUCUUGUUUCUCUCAAUCAAAUUGAGAACAUUCCUAACAAUUCAUUUGAUUAAUCAACCCUAUCUAUUUUUCAUCCCGAGUGGCCGUGAAUACAAGGUCUGAGUCUCUCCACAUAACCAUCCAAAUCGCCGUCGAAACUCUUAACACCUUUGGCACUGAAGUCAGACGGUUCUCCAGGAGUACUGGUGGUGCACAGAGCAUGCUCUUUGACUCGGGUUCAGGUGGUGGUCCAGAUCUGAUUGUUGAUGAUGGUGGUGACGCAACUCAGGUCGUCAUCCUCUGUGAGACAGUCUCAAAGCCGACGCCGAUUGUUACCGGAGAAAAUAAAUCCAAAUUCGUUUCCCCUCCAAGUGAAUCACUUGCCAACGGUGAAGCCUGUGGUGCGAGCAGGGAUCUGACCCUCUCCGAGGCUGUUAUUGAUUGAUCUAAAGGCCAAGACUUGGGUCUCGUAACUAGGAGAGUUGAUUCAGUGACAAUGGAGUUGGAGGAGAGAGAGGUGAUGAUGGAGAAGAUAAAGUUGAUAAAGCUGACGAUAAAGAGGAGGUGGUGGUGGAUGUGGUGAGGGUGAAUACAGUGGUGGAGGUGGCUACUCGAGGGAGGAGGUGGUGGUUUAUGCCAUGGUGGUGGAUGCCGUGGUGAUGGAUGCCGUAGUGGUGGAUGUGGAUACGUAUGUGGAAGACGUGAGGGUGGUAUAGUGGUUGUGGAGGUUGCUAUUAGAGAGGAGGAGGUGGUGGUGAAUACGGUGGAGGUGAAAUAUGUGAGAUCUUGGUGAUACAGAGGUGGUGAAGGCGGAGGGUACGAAAGAAGUCGGUGUUUGGUAAUUAGAUUUGGGUUUGAGACUGUUAUGACUGGUUGUUUGUUUAGAUUAUAACAGUUUUGGUAUUUGAUAUAGAGAAAAGAAUUGUUAA